This 468-nucleotide ribosomal RNA is filed under the name uncultured bacterium. RNAcentral's name for it is "partial 16S ribosomal RNA". It matches the Rfam family "Bacterial small subunit ribosomal RNA", at positions 28 to 507 of the family's 1533-position model. The record is from RNAcentral.
GACGAACGCUGGCGGCGUGCUUAACACAUGCAAGUCGAACGGAAAGGCCCUGCUUUUGUGGGGUGCUCGAGUGGCGAACGGGUGAGUAACACGUGAGUAACCUGCACUUGACUUUGGGAUAACUUCAGGAAACUGGGGCUAAUACCGGAUAGGAGCUCCUGCUGCAUGGUGGGGGUUGGAAAGUUUCGGCGGUUGGGGAUGGACUCGCGGCUUAUCAGCUUGUUGGUGGGGUAGUGGCUUACCAGGGCUUUGACGGGUAGCCGGCCUGAGAGGGUGACCGGCCACAUUGGGACUGAGAUACGGCCCAGACUCCUACGGGAGGCAGCAGUGGGGAAUAUUGCACAAUGGGCGGAAGCCUGAUGCAGCAACGCCGCGUGCGGGAUGACGGCCUUCGGGUUGUAAACCGCUUUCGCCUGUGACGAAGCGUGAGUGACGGUAAUGGGUAAAGAAGCACCGGCUAACUACGUG